AAGGUUGGCAGCAUUUUCGAAAACGACCAAGACAAGACCCAGGCGGCAAUAGCGAAACUCAUAGAUAGCGCCGACAUCGGGACGGGCCAGCUCCGCCUCGACGUCGUCCUCAAGUUCUUCGGAGAAAUCG
RNAcentral lists this small nuclear RNA (130 nucleotides) under uncultured Bolidomonas. RNAcentral's name for it is "partial Dictyostelium signal recognition particle". The record is from RNAcentral. Lineage: Eukaryota; Bolidophyceae.